Molecule: ribosomal RNA, 496 nt
Filed under: uncultured bacterium
Lineage: Bacteria
Description: partial 16S ribosomal RNA
Rfam family: Bacterial small subunit ribosomal RNA
Source: RNAcentral
AUGAACGCUGGCGGCGUGCCUAAUACAUGCAAGUCGAGCGAACAGACGAGGAGCUUGCUCCUCUGACGUUAGCGGCGGACGGGUGAGAAACACGUGGAUAACCUACCUAUAAGACUGGGAUAACUUCGGGAAACCGGAGCUAAUACCGGAUAAUAUAUUGAACCGCAUGGUUCAAUAGUGAAAGACGGUUUUGCUGUCACUUAUAGAUGGAUCCGCGCCGCAUUAGCUAGUUGGUAAGGUAACGGCUUACCAAGGCAACGAUGCGUAGCCGACCUGAGAGGGUGAUCGGCCACACUGGAACUGAGACACGGUCCAGACUCCUACGGGAGGCAGCAGUAGGGAAUCUUCCGCAAUGGGCGAAAGCCUGACGGAGCAACGCCGCGUGAGUGAUGAAGGUCUUCGGAUCGUAAAACUCUGUUAUUAGGGAAGAACAAAUGUGUAAGUAACUAUGCACGUCUUGACGGUACCUAAUCAGAAAGCCACGGCUAACUACGUG